CGAGUCGGCCGGGCGGCCGCGUCGGCGGGCAGGUCCCGCCGCCGAGGAACGUCCGGACUCCACAGGGCAGGGUGGUUGCUAACGGCAACCCGGGGCGACCCGCGGGACAGUGCCACAGAAAACAGACCGCCGGCCGGUUAUCGGCCGGUAAGGGUGAAACGGCGGGGUAAGAGCCCACCAGCACCCCGGGUGACCGGGGUGGCUCGGUAAACCCCACCCGGAGCAAGGCCAAGAAGGGCCACCGCCAGCCGGUGGUGGCCCGCGCAGGCGACCGAGGACGGCCCGUCCGAGCCUGCGGGUAGGCCGCUGGAGCCUGCCGGCGACGGCAGGCCGAGAUGGAUGGCCGCCGGCCGCCAGCCUGCCUCGGCAGGUGGGCGGUGCACAGAAUCCGGCGUACAGGCCGACUCGUCCG
RNAcentral lists this RNase P RNA (412 nucleotides) under Micromonosporaceae bacterium. Its description in RNAcentral is "Bacterial RNase P class A". It matches the Rfam family "Bacterial RNase P class A". Rfam says of the family: Ribonuclease P (RNase P) is a ubiquitous endoribonuclease, found in archaea, bacteria and eukarya as well as chloroplasts and mitochondria. Its best characterised activity is the generation of mature 5'-ends of tRNAs by cleaving the 5'-leader elements of precursor-tRNAs. Lineage: Bacteria; Bacillati; Actinomycetota; Actinomycetes; Micromonosporales; Micromonosporaceae. The record is from Rfam by way of RNAcentral.